Molecule: unclassified non-coding RNA, 203 nt
Filed under: uncultured fungus
Lineage: Eukaryota; Fungi
Also listed under: 1 other name
Description: partial contains 5.8S ribosomal RNA, internal transcribed spacer 2, and large subunit ribosomal RNA
Source: RNAcentral
AACGCACAUUGCGCCCAUUGGUAUUCCGAUGGGCACACUGCAGCGAGCGUCGCUUCUAUUCUCAGCACCAGCUGGUUUUGGACAUGCCCAAGGGCUGCUCCCUAAUGAAGUGACCGUUCGCUCGGCUGACAGGAGUCGCCGACAGCGGCAAAACUUUUUACAAUUUUUGACCUCGCUGCAGUGAGAAUACCCGCUGAACUUAA